RNAcentral lists this ribosomal RNA (438 nucleotides) under uncultured Desulfobulbus sp. RNAcentral describes it as "bacterial SSU rRNA". It matches the Rfam family "Bacterial small subunit ribosomal RNA", at positions 950 to 1382 of the family's 1533-position model. The record is from RNAcentral. Lineage: Bacteria; Pseudomonadati; Thermodesulfobacteriota; Desulfobulbia; Desulfobulbales; Desulfobulbaceae.
UUCGAUGCAACGCGAAGAACCUUACCUGGUCUUGACAUCCCGGAGACCCUUAGGAAACUAGGGGGUGCUUCCAUCUGGAAGAAUCUGGAGACAGGUGCUGCAUGGCUGUCGUCAGCUCGUGUCGUGAGAUGUUGGGUUAGGUCCCGCAACGAGCGCAACCCUUGCCUUUAGUUGCCAGCAGUUCGGCUGGGCACUCUAAAGGGACUGCCGGUGUUAAACCGGAGGAAGGUGGGGAUGACGUCAAGUCCUCAUGGCCUUUAUGACCAGGGCUACACACGUACUACAAUGGCCGAUACAAAGGGCAGCGACACUGCGAGGUGAAGCCAAUCCCGUAAAAUCGGUCUCAGUCCGGAUUGGAGUCUGCAACUCGACUCCAUGAAGUUGGAAUCGCUAGUAAUCGUGGAUCAGCAUGCCACGGUGAAUACGUUCCCGGGCCUU